CCUACGGGAGGCUGCAGUGGGGAAUAUUGCACAAUGGGCGCAAGCCUGAUGCAGCCAUGCCGCGUGUGUGAAGAAGGCCUUCGGGUUGUAAAGCACUUUCAGCGGGGAGGAAGGCGUUAAGGUUAAUAACCUUGUCGAUUGACGUUACCCGCAGAAGAAGCACCGGCUAACUCCGUGCCAGCAGCCGCGGUAAUACGGAGGGUGCAAGCGUUAAUCGGAAUUACUGGGCGUAAAGCGCACGCAGGCGGUCUGUCAAGUCGGAUGUGAAAUCCCCGGGCUCAACCUGGGAACGUGCAUUCGAAACUGGCAGGCUAGAGUCUUGUAGAGGGGGGUAGAAUUCCAGGUGUAGCGGUGAAAUGCGUAGAGAUCUGGAGGAAUACCGGUGGCGAAGGCGGCCCCCUGGACAAAGACUGACGCUCAGGUGCGAAAGCGUGGGGAGCAAACAGGAUUAGAUACCCGGGUAGUC
This 466-nucleotide ribosomal RNA is filed under the name uncultured Klebsiella sp. RNAcentral describes it as "bacterial SSU rRNA". It matches the Rfam family "Bacterial small subunit ribosomal RNA", at positions 338 to 795 of the family's 1533-position model. Lineage: Bacteria; Pseudomonadati; Pseudomonadota; Gammaproteobacteria; Enterobacterales; Enterobacteriaceae. The record is from RNAcentral.